AACGCACAUUGCGCCCCCUGGUAUUCCGGGGGGCAUGCCUGUUCGAGCGUCAUUAUCACCCCUCAAGCUCUGCUUGGUGUUGGGGCCCGCCGUAAAAGGCGGCCCUUAAAAUCAGUGGCGGUGCCUUCAGGCUCUAAGCGUAGUAAAUCUGUCGCUAUAGGGUCCUGAGGGAUACUUGCCAAAACCCCAAAUUUUUAACGAUUGACCUCGGAUCAGGUAGGGAUACCCGCUGAACUUAA
RNAcentral lists this unclassified non-coding RNA (239 nucleotides) under uncultured fungus. RNAcentral's name for it is "partial contains 5.8S ribosomal RNA, internal transcribed spacer 2, and large subunit ribosomal RNA". The stretch from base 1 to 52 matches the Rfam family "5.8S ribosomal RNA", at positions 103 to 154 of the family's 154-position model. The record is from RNAcentral. Lineage: Eukaryota; Fungi.